RNAcentral lists this long non-coding RNA (255 nucleotides) under Solanum tuberosum (potato). RNAcentral's name for it is "long non-coding RNA (STUB_LNC006541)". The record is from RNAcentral. Lineage: Eukaryota; Viridiplantae; Streptophyta; Magnoliopsida; Solanales; Solanaceae.
UUUGGAAAUGCUUUAUUUAAACUGAGGAUAUCGGAAACAACCUCUCUAGCCCUACAAGGUAGGGGUAAGGUCUGCGUACACACUGCCUCCCCAGACCCCAAACUGUGUAUGAUGUUGUUGUUGUUUAUAGUUAAAAACAUUGCCAAAGCAAAAGUGUUUGUAAGCUGAAAAACAUUAGUUGGGGGGAUCAACUUAUGGUUUAGAGGGUGUUUGGAUUGACUUUUUAAAAAUACUUAUAAGCUAAGGGGUCGUUUG